RNAcentral lists this long non-coding RNA (254 nucleotides) under Mytilus galloprovincialis (Mediterranean mussel). Lineage: Eukaryota; Metazoa; Mollusca; Bivalvia; Mytilida; Mytilidae. The record is from RNAcentral.
GUUCAUUCGAUGAUCCUCAAAAUAUUAUGGACAUACAAAUUUGGAGGACUGUACAAAAAUCUUGCGAGAGUUUGGUAUCACUAAUUACCUUUCAAGAAGCAUUAUUAAAUGAAAAAGAAAAUGACAGUGACUAUAGCUGAAAUCGUAAGGGUAUAUGCAAAUUUUAUUCAUUGUUUGAGGAUGCACAUUUUCUUUGAGAUUUACUAAUCCUGAGCACGCAUGAAAUAGUUACCAAUUGGUGAUAAGCAACCAAC